GAUGAACGCUAGCUACAGGCUUAACACAUGCAAGUCGAGGGGCAGCAUUGGGGUAGCAAUACUUCAGAUGGCGACCGGCGCACGGGUGAGUAACACGUAUCCAACCUGCCGCUUACUCGGGGAUAGCCUUUCGAAAGAAAGAUUAAUACCCGAUGGUAUAAAGAGUUCGCGUGUUCUCUUUAUUAAAGAAUUUCGGUAAGCGAUGGGGAUGCGUUCCAUUAGAUUGUUGGCGGGGUAACGGCCCACCAAGUCUACGAUGGAUAGGGGUUCUGAGAGGAAGGUCCCCCACAUUGGAACUGAGACACGGUCCAAACUCCUACGGGAGGCAGCAGUGAGGAAUAUUGGUCAAUGGACGAGAGUCUGAACCAGCCAAGUAGCGUGAAGGAUGACUGCCCUAUGGGUUGUAAACUUCUUUUAUAAGGGAAUAAAGUGAGGGACGUGUCCCUUUUUGUAUGUACCUUAUGAAUAAGGAUCGGCUAACUCCGUGCCAGCAGCCGACGGUAAUGUCGAUAUCGUC
Molecule: ribosomal RNA, 517 nt
Filed under: uncultured bacterium
Lineage: Bacteria
Description: bacterial SSU rRNA
Rfam family: Bacterial small subunit ribosomal RNA
Source: RNAcentral